CCUUUGCUAGAACGGCUGAGUAUGUCUUGAGCUCCAGUACCAAUAAGUGUUGCUUGAUUUCUAGGCAGAGGCCCCACUGGAAUCUCCUGGCCUUCCUGCCUUCAUCCAUCAAUGUCUCCGGGGAGUAUCGGCCCAGCUCUAGGAACUUACGAGCAUAUUCCGAUAUCGUCAUAUUUCCCUAGACCAGCUGAACAAACUCCAUCUCCUUCAGGUGUCGGAUGUGCUCAGGGAGAUGCUCCGCAUGGAAGGCCGCUAAGAACUGCUCCCAAGUGGCUGGUGUAGGCAGGGUGGUUUGCUUGAGCUCCCACCAAUGACCUGCUUCCCCUACCAGCAUGUAGGAAGCAAGGGCAGCUCUCUGCUCAGGAACCACUCCCAAGGUCUUGAAAGCUCUCUCAGUCUCUGCCAACCAGUACUAGACAUCUUCAAAAGAAGAUCCCCCUGUAA
RNAcentral lists this long non-coding RNA (444 nucleotides) under Carica papaya (papaya). RNAcentral's name for it is "long non-coding RNA (CPAP_LNC015630)". Lineage: Eukaryota; Viridiplantae; Streptophyta; Magnoliopsida; Brassicales; Caricaceae. The record is from RNAcentral.